RNAcentral lists this small RNA (398 nucleotides) under Oryza sativa Japonica Group (Japanese rice). RNAcentral's name for it is "sRNA Os08g0453733". Lineage: Eukaryota; Viridiplantae; Streptophyta; Magnoliopsida; Poales; Poaceae. The record is from RNAcentral.
AACUCGCUUCCAUUUCCACAAGGAGUACUUCUGAUGGAAUACAGAACAGUCAUGAUUACAGUAGAUAUUGAUAAAAAGAAUCAAAAUUUUUUGCAUAGAAGCAAACUGACCCUCUUCACCAUUUGUAAAUGUACAUAGUAUAAUGCAGAGGGAUAGAUAGAAACAUUUUUAUUAACAAAAUUUGAGAGGGCAAAAUCUUCAGUGCCCUCAGCCAUCGUCUAUCAUAGAUAUACAUGUAUAGCCUAUAGCUACUCAUCAGAUGCUAAGCUUACAAGACCCUGAGGUCACCAAAGUACACGUCUACCAGUCUAGUACUGGCAGUGGCAUUGCGCAGUGAUACUAUAUAUGGAUAUUCAGUUGGGCCUUGGCAUUAACACAGAAAAGCAGACUCAUAAAAU